AUGGUAGAGGCGCGAUCAACAUCAGUACGCUCUUGUCAUCCGGCAGACACCGGGGAGCGGAAAGGGGCGAUCGCCGAAGGGUCUCACCGCUGUCUGGCGGUGGAUACCUGGGACGCGGGAGAACAUUCCGCGGACUGUCACUUCGGUGGAGAGCUGUC
Molecule: non-coding RNA, 158 nt
Filed under: human gut metagenome
Description: Lysine riboswitch
Rfam family: Lysine riboswitch aptamer
About the family: Riboswitches are metabolite binding domains within certain messenger RNAs that serve as precision sensors for their corresponding targets.
Source: RNAcentral